UACGGAGGGUGCAAGCGUUAUCCGGAUUCACUGGGUUUAAAGGGUGCGUAGGCGGGCAGGUAAGUCCGUGGUGAAAUCUCUGAGCUUAACUCAGAAACUGCAAUGGAUACUAUUUGUCUUGAAUAUUGUGGAGGUAAGCGGAAUAUGUCAUGUAGCGGUGAAAUGCUUAGAUAUGACAUAGAACACCAAUUGCGAAGGCAGCUUACUACACAGUCAUUGACGCUGAGGCACGAAAGCGUGGGGAUCAAACAGG
RNAcentral lists this ribosomal RNA (253 nucleotides) under uncultured bacterium. Its description in RNAcentral is "partial 16S ribosomal RNA". It matches the Rfam family "Bacterial small subunit ribosomal RNA", at positions 524 to 776 of the family's 1533-position model. The record is from RNAcentral.